Molecule: ribosomal RNA, 253 nt
Filed under: uncultured bacterium
Lineage: Bacteria
Description: partial 16S ribosomal RNA
Rfam family: Bacterial small subunit ribosomal RNA
Source: RNAcentral
UACGGAGGGUGCAAGCGUUAUCCGGAUUCACUGGGUUUAAAGGGUGCGUAGGCGGAUUGGUAAGUCCGUGGUGAAAUCUCUAAGCUUAACUUGGAAACUGCCAUGGAUACUAUUAGUCUUGAAUAUUGUGGAGGUUAGCGGAAUAUGUCAUGUAGCGGUGAAAUGCAUAGAUAUGACAUAGAACACCAAUUGCGGAGGCAGCUGGCUACACAAAUAUUGACGCUGAUGCACGAAAGCGUGGGGAUCAAACAGG